UUCCCUGUGGAAGACUAGUGAUUUUGUUGUUGUAUGGCUCAUCCCACCACAACAAGUCACAGUCUGCCCU
Molecule: microRNA precursor, 70 nt
Organism: Camarhynchus parvulus
Lineage: Eukaryota; Metazoa; Chordata; Aves; Passeriformes; Thraupidae
Source: Ensembl